UUCCGGUUGAUCCCGCCAGACCUGACUGCUAUCGGAUUGAUACUAAGCCAUGCGAGUCAUUGUAGCAAUACAAGGCAUACGGCUCAGUAACGCGUAGUCAACCUAACCUAUGGACGGGAAUAACCUCGGGAAACUGAGAAUAAUGCCCGAUAGAACAUUAUACCUGGAAUGGUUUAUGUUCCAAAUGAUUUAUCGCCGUAGGAUGGGACUGCGGCCUAUCAGUUUGUUGGUGAGGUAAUGGCCCACCAAGACUAUUACAGGUACGGGCUCUGAGAGGAGUAGCCCGGAGAUGGGUACUGAGACACGGACCCAGGCCCUAUGGGGCGCAGCAGGCGAGAAAACUUUGCAAUGUGCGAAAGCACGACAAGGUUAAUCCGAGUGAUUUCUGCUAAAGAAAUCUUUUGUUAGUCCUAGAAACACUAACGAAUAAGGGGUGGGCAAGUUCUGGUGUCAGCCGCCGCGGUAAAACCAGCACCUCAAGUGGUCAGGAUGAUUAUUGGGCCUAAAGCAUCCGUAGCCGGCUCUGUAAGUUUUCGGUUAAAUCUGUACGCUUAACGUACAGGCCGCCGGGAAUACUGCAAAGCUAGGGAGUGGGAGAAGUAGACGGUACUCGGUAGGAAGUGGUAAAAUGCUUUGAUCUAUCGAUGACCACCUGUGGCGAAGGCGGUCUACUAGAACACGUCCGACGGUGAGGGAUGAAAGCUGGGGGAGCAAACCGGAUUAGAUACCCGGGUAGUCCCAGCUGUAAACUAUGCAAACUCAGUGAUGCAUUGGCUUGUGGCCAAUGCAGUGCUGCAGGGAAGCCGUUAAGUUUGCCGCCUGGGAAGUACGUACGCAAGUAUGAAACUUAAAGGAAUUGGCGGGGGAGCACCACAAGGGGUGAAGCCUGCGGUUCAAUUGGAGUCAACGCCGGA
Molecule: ribosomal RNA, 914 nt
Filed under: uncultured archaeon
Lineage: Archaea
Description: bacterial SSU rRNA
Rfam family: Archaeal small subunit ribosomal RNA
Source: RNAcentral